Long non-coding RNA from Dromaius novaehollandiae (emu), 1603 nucleotides. RefSeq lists it as uncharacterized. The record is from RefSeq and is a predicted model, not a curated record. The transcript is spliced from 2 exons. NCBI's taxonomy places the organism in Eukaryota, Metazoa, Chordata, Aves, Casuariiformes, Dromaiidae.
AUGCCCACGCCUUGGGGAGAGGCUGCAUCUACUUCUGCUUUCUCUUCCUUUUCUCUUCUGUGAAAAGAGAUGGCAUAUAUUAUAUAUAAUAUAUAAUAUAUUAUUAUGUGGCCUAUUUGAGAAGAUUUUGUGUUUAAAUAAGAACGGGGUAUUUGAACAAGAUAUUUUAUCCUAGAUGGUCUAAGGAGAGUUCGAGAAGGGUAUGGGGAGGGGAUAGGAAAGAGGAGGAGCAACUACCUGCGUAAUUUUUUUAAUAUCAGAAACCAUCUUUAGAAUCGGUCUAUGGUUAGUAAACAUUUCUAAUAAGAUUUAGUCAGAUACAGUGCAAAGAACAAGGUUUUGAACCAAAUAGGCCUCCCACGCAAACUUUGGAGUAUAAAAGAAAGAAAGAAAGAGUGAGCAGGAGGAAGGGAGGAUAGGGAGAAUCACUGGUUAUACCUCUCCCCUCAGGUAAUAUCAGCUGGGACUCUUGUUGGACCAGACAACAACUUCUAAAGCAGCAGUGAGACAUGACUUUGGCAACAGCGAGAUAUGCAAAGCAGAGUCUGAGCUAGUAAAUCGGCCAGGUAGAGCGAAGAAGCUGUAGGAUGCAACAGGCGCCUUUCUUGUGUUGGAAACUGGAAUAGGAGCACGCAGAAGGCAAUGGUCCUAGAAGUGAAGGAGGAGAGAGCGAGCUGUCAGUGGGGCUCCUAUAAAGGAGGAAGAGUUGGACUGUUACUUUAAAAUGUGGGCUGGGGCAUCGUAAGUUCAAGCACUAAUAUAAAACUGAUUGACUCCUCUUGCUUCUCAGAUGUUCAGUUACACUAUUUGGAUAGAUGGGCACUUCCCUCUGAAAGUACAGAAUAUGAAAGAUGUGAUCAGUUCAACAUUUAAUACACUCAUAUACUAUUUUAAGACAUUUAAAGUUAAAAUAAUGGGAAACAAGUUAUGCAUAGGAAUAUAUAUAAAAUGUUCUGUUCUCUAUGAAUGGUAAGAAUUGAGACUUUUGAGAAAUGUAUGUAUCUCAAAACAUGUAUAAAGUGGGUUCCCUUGGAUUUUUUUGGUAUGGUUUGUCAUUGAUUCAAUCUUUCUCGUUUGAAAAGGGGAAAAAAAAGACCUUGGCAUGUGAUGCUGCCUUUCAUCUCACCAGUGACAUGUUGUUUCUGAGGAGCAGAGCAUCAUAGUUUCUGCUGUUUCUAUCCCCCUCCUCUUUUGGAGUACUGUAUAUUUGUAAAAAUUAUUAUUUAAUACUUUAUGCUUUUUUAAUUGGCUAAAAUUAAUCUUAAAUAUUUGUAUAUGCUGCUUUUUCUCUUUGAAAGGAAACUGCAGAAACCAAUGUAUACCAACUUAGCAUUCACCAAAAGCAUCUAUUUUUAUGAAAAAGAUGGAAAUGAUGCAGUCAUAAAUUACUUAUGUGGCUAACAAGGUUUUAUUUUCAAAAACUUCUGAGACAAGGAUUGUAGAUUGGGCAAAACCUUCUGACAUCUGAAUUUGGGAUGCUAGUAAAAGGAAGAAUCUAUGACAAAACAAACUAGAAAUACCAAGGGGAAGUAAUGUUUUAUAUUUGAGAUGUAGCUGCUUUCAGUCUUAUGUGAUUCAUAUAUUAAUAAAAUAAUAAACAAUA